GCGAGGGGCAGGUGCGGGUCCUGGGACGGCAGCAGGGAGUAGAUGACCUGGGCGUUGGUGCCUGAGUCUCUGUCUGUGGCGCUGACACUGCCGAUGGGCAGGGCGGGGCUGUUGUUCUCACGGACAAACAGGGUGUAGGAGGUUUGGGUGAAGGCGGGGGCGUUGUCAUUGACGUCGGAGACCAGGACCGUUAUGUUGUGCUCGGUUUUCAGCCUGGGUGUCCCCAUGUCGGUGACAGUGAUGGUGAUGUUGUACUCGGCUUGGCUCUCUCUGUCCAGUGUUCUCUGUGUCACUAGAGUGUAAAAGUUUUUUAAUGUGGGCUUCAAAAGAAAGGGGAGAUCAUUCUGGAUGGAGCAAAUCAUCCUACCGUUGUCCCCGGAGUCUGGAUCAGAAACACUGAAAACAGCAACUACAGUUUCCGGGGCAUUUUCUGGGAUAGGGCUGGAGAGCGUAGACAUGGUGAGUUCAGGGGCGUUGUCAUUCACAUCCACCACUUCCAUAGCCACAGUGCAUUUUCCUGAAAGGCCCCCACCAUCUGUGGCUACAAUUUCCACGUUAUAAUAUGGAGUUGCCUCGAAAUCCAAUGCCCUUUUCAGGCGAAUUUCUCCUGUUUUUUCGUCUAUUACAAAUGGUUGAGUAACUUCAUCGCCUUGGAAUAGAGCAUAGGCUACACUCCCAUACGCUCCUGCAUCUAAAUCUCGAGCGGAGACAACGACAACUAAGGAGUUAAUGGGGCUGUUCUCGGGCACCUGUACCUCAUAGAGUGAUUGUAAAAAUUCAGGGGCGUUGUCAUUAUUAUCCAAGACGACAAUGCGAAUUGUGGUGGUCCCGGACCUGGGCGGAGCCCCACCGUCCAGUGCAGUGAGUGUUAAGCUGAGCUCAGGCCGCUCCUCCCGGUCCAGCGCUUUGUCCAGCACCAGCUCUGGGUAUUUUCUGCCAUCUCCGCGAUUAUGCGUAGCAACAUGAAAGUGGGAAUUUGGGCUGAUUGUGUAGUUCUGAACAGCGUUGCUACCUAUGUCAAAGUCCUGGGCUACUUUUAAAGGAAACACAGUCCCUGGCUGGGUGCUCUCUGGGAUUUUUAGGAGCAUUUCCUUCUCUGGGAACUCUGGGGAAUGGUCAUUUAUAUCUGUGAGCUGCAGAUCAGUUUGAAAAAACUGCACUGGAUUUUCUAGUAAGAGCUGGAAAUGCAAUAUACAGGGUUCUGUCGCCCCGCAUAUCACCUCCCGGUCUAGUUUUUCAUAUAGAAGCAAAUUGCCGGUCUUUAUAUCAAGCUGCAAGAGCUCUUUGUUUCCUUUGUAAUGCAUUCGCGCGCCCCGAGUGGCCAGUUCCCCCACCCCAAGACCCAGGUCUUUUGCCAGGUUGGCCACAGAAUAGCCACUUUCUGUUUCUUCUGGUAUGGAAUACCUAACUGCCUCAGAGCCAGCCUCCCACAAAAGCAACAAUAUAGCAAGAAACAUAACUUGCCUUUUUUGCGGCGUUUUUGCUAGCGCAGUCUCCAUUGUUCAGACCCGGUCCAGAAGGCGCAGUUUCUUUAACUCCGUACACAAUCCACCCAGAUGAUUUGCAUAAAUAACCGCGAAUCCGAUCUUUCUUGACUGAUUUCCACAAGAACGAAGCCCACCCUGAAGAUCUAGCCACUAGAUCUUACCUAAAAUGCGUCCUUCUUUUAGAGUUUGGAUUCCCCAGCUU
RNAcentral lists this long non-coding RNA (1689 nucleotides) under Pan troglodytes (chimpanzee). RNAcentral describes it as "long non-coding RNA NONPTRT014269". Lineage: Eukaryota; Metazoa; Chordata; Mammalia; Primates; Hominidae. The record is from RNAcentral.